GAGGGUAUAGCUUAGUGGUAGGGUGCAUGCUUAGCAUGUAUGAAGUCCUGGGUUCAAUCCUCUGUACCUCCG
This 72-nucleotide transfer RNA is filed under the name Camelus bactrianus (Bactrian camel). It matches the Rfam family "tRNA". Rfam says of the family: Transfer RNA (tRNA) molecules are approximately 80 nucleotides in length. Lineage: Eukaryota; Metazoa; Chordata; Mammalia; Artiodactyla; Camelidae. The record is from Rfam by way of RNAcentral. RNAcentral also lists the same sequence under 2 other names.